AGAAUAAUGGAGUAGAUUUCAACACUGACCCUCCUCCUGGAACACAAACAGGUCUGUGUGGUGUGAUAGAGCAGAAGGAUGAGGGAGGGGAGCAGUCCGAUUCAGCCUGUGGAGCUCAGACCCAACCUGGACACGCAGCUCUUUGCGAGAAGCAUUACAGAGAGUACCUGGUCAGCCUUAUCAACAGCCACACCAUCGAUCCCGCCCCACUCUACAGC
This is a long non-coding RNA of Nematolebias whitei (Rio pearlfish), 218 nucleotides long. RefSeq lists it as uncharacterized. The transcript is spliced from 3 exons. Lineage: Eukaryota; Metazoa; Chordata; Actinopteri; Cyprinodontiformes; Rivulidae. The record is from RefSeq and is a predicted model, not a curated record.